UCCCUCGUAGCUCAGUCGGUAAAGAAUCUGCCUGCCGUGCAGGAAACCCAGGUUUGAUCCCUGGGUUGGGAA
This 72-nucleotide transfer RNA is filed under the name Ovis aries (sheep). It matches the Rfam family "tRNA". From Rfam's summary of the family: Transfer RNA (tRNA) molecules are approximately 80 nucleotides in length. Their secondary structure includes four short double-helical elements and three loops (D, anti-codon, and T loops). The record is from Rfam by way of RNAcentral. Lineage: Eukaryota; Metazoa; Chordata; Mammalia; Artiodactyla; Bovidae.